GAAAUGCGAUAAGUAAUGUGAAUUGCAGAAUUCAGUGAAUCAUCGAAUCUUUGAACGCACCUUGCGCUCCUUGGUAUUCCUUGGAGCAUGCCUGUUUGAGUAUCAUGAAAUCUUCAAAGUAAAUCUUUUGUUAACUCAAUUGGUUUCUACUUUGGUAUUGGAGGUCUUUGCAGCUUCACACCUGCUCCUCUUUGUUCAUUAGCUGGAUCUCAGUGUUAUGCUUGGUUCCACUCGGCGUGAUAAGUUAUCUAUCGCUGAGGACACUGUAAAAGGUGGCCAAGGUAAAUGCAGAUGAACCGCUUCUAAUAGUCCAUUGACUUGGACAAUACUUUUAUGAUUUGAUCUCAAAUCAGGUAGGACUACCCGCUGAACUUAAGC
Molecule: unclassified non-coding RNA, 378 nt
Filed under: plant metagenome
Description: partial contains 5.8S ribosomal RNA, internal transcribed spacer 2, and large subunit ribosomal RNA
Rfam family: 5.8S ribosomal RNA (bases 1-105)
Source: RNAcentral